AUGUUCAAUUCCUGGAUGAAUGGUAACACAGUAGCUUGUUUUGCUUUCUACAGCCUUUCCAAGGAAAGAAGCAGUUAUGUUGCAGUGGUAAUAAGGCUUGACAUGAUGAUAUGUAUUGGAGAUUGCUUGUUGUGCUGGAGAUUUUGGGAGAUCUGGUGUGAGUGCAGUCAUCACAUUUAUCACAAUUCGGAGUUAUCGCCUGCAAUGCUCACGCGGCUUGCGAUUGACGAAGCCAAUGUUCGAAGGAUGCUGACGCACGACACAUCAUUUUGCCAAAUUAAUCUAGCUUACCGAGCCCGAUCAUUUUGGUUGACCUUGUAUGUACUCUCUUAUAUAUGCAAGUUAUGUACCAAUUGUUCCUACGAGAUGGAGAUGGAGCAGAAAGAGUUUGGCCUGGACAAAUGGGAUUAG
RNAcentral lists this ribosomal RNA (411 nucleotides) under Triticum aestivum (bread wheat). RNAcentral describes it as "partial small subunit ribosomal RNA". Lineage: Eukaryota; Viridiplantae; Streptophyta; Magnoliopsida; Poales; Poaceae. The record is from RNAcentral.